Molecule: ribosomal RNA, 439 nt
Filed under: uncultured bacterium
Lineage: Bacteria
Description: SSU rRNA
Rfam family: Bacterial small subunit ribosomal RNA
Source: RNAcentral
AGAGCGAACGCUGGCGGCAGGCCUAACACAUGCAAGUCGAACGCCCAGCAAUGGGAGUGGCAGACGGGAUAGUAACACGUGGGAACGCGCCCUUCGGUUCGGAAUAACUCAGGGAAACUUGAGCUAAUACCGGAUACGCCCUUACGGGGAAAGAUUUAUUGCCGAAGGAACGGCCCGCGUCGGAUUAGCUAGUUGGUGAGGUAAUGGCUCACCAAGGCGACGAUCCGUAGCUGGUCUGAGAGGAUGACCAGCAUCACUGGGACUGAGACACGGCCCAGACUCCUACGGGAGGCAGCAGUGGGGAAUAUUGGACAAUGGGCGCAAGCCUGAUCCAGCCAUGCCGCGUGGAUGAUGAAGGCCCUAGGGUUGUAAAGUCUUUAACGGGAAGAUAAUGACGGUACCGUAGAAUAAGCCCGGCUAACUUCGUGCCAGCAGCCGC